This 198-nucleotide unclassified non-coding RNA is filed under the name uncultured Chaetothyriales. Its description in RNAcentral is "sequence contains ITS1". Lineage: Eukaryota; Fungi; Ascomycota; Eurotiomycetes; Chaetothyriales. The record is from RNAcentral.
UCGAGUUAGGGUCCUCUGGGCCCGACCUCCAACCCUGUGUCUACCGUACCUCUUGUUGCUUCGGCGGGCCCGUCCUCCCCUGUAAAUUGGGGGGCGACCGCCGGAGGGUUUACGCCCUCUGGCCCGCGCCCGCCGGUGGCCCCAAUCAAUAUUCUUGUUAAAAACCGUGUCGUCUGAGUUGAGAAAUCAAUAACUAAA